This 163-nucleotide small nuclear RNA is filed under the name Echinops telfairi (small Madagascar hedgehog). Its description in RNAcentral is "U1 spliceosomal RNA (ENSETEG00000021133.1)". It matches the Rfam family "U1 spliceosomal RNA". From Rfam's summary of the family: U1 is a small nuclear RNA (snRNA) component of the spliceosome (involved in pre-mRNA splicing). Its 5' end forms complementary base pairs with the 5' splice junction, thus defining the 5' donor site of an intron. Lineage: Eukaryota; Metazoa; Chordata; Mammalia; Afrosoricida; Tenrecidae. The record is from RNAcentral.
AUACUUACCUGGCAGGGGAGACACCAUGACCAGGAAAGUGGUUUUCCCAGGGCAAGAAUCAUCCAUUGCACUGUGGGUGUGCUGACCCCUGCGAUCUUCCCAAAUGCAGGAAACUCAACUGCAUAAUUUGUGGUAGUGGGGAAUGCUUCCGCGCUCUCCCCUG